Molecule: long non-coding RNA, 1380 nt
Organism: Carassius gibelio (silver crucian carp)
Lineage: Eukaryota; Metazoa; Chordata; Actinopteri; Cypriniformes; Cyprinidae
Exons: 5
Source: RefSeq, a predicted model, not a curated record
UAAUGGGGGGAGGGAGGUGGCAGAUAUGCAUGCAUUGUGGUUGGCAGUCCUUCCUCUUCUUAAAGGCCUGCUCAACUGCUGUAGCAUGCUUCUAUGGAAACUGCCUGUCUAUCAGCACACCCACACAUGAGUCAGAAGAGUGCUAUAAUCAAUUGCAUCAUCUGGAUCUAUAGCUGCUCACUGCUCCAGGUGUGUGUUCACUUCUCGCUGCUGUGUUUGUGCACUUGGAUGGGCUAAAUGCAGAGCACCAAUUCUGAGUAUGGGUUACCACCAUAGACUAAAGAAAUAUGUACGUAGUGUCCGUGACAUCACCCAUAGACUCCUCAAUAGUGGUUUUGAAGCCUAAAGUGUGCAGAGCGGGCCGUCGCCAUCUUGGCAGCGCGUCACCGCGCGACUCUCCCGGAUAAUCGAAAUGAGUAACCCCAGAGUGCAGUCUGGACGAUGGGGCGGGGCGACACUUCGAGGCGGAGCGACACGUGUCGCCCCGCCCAUAUUUGUUUCCCCCGCCUUUGACAUUUUCCUCCGAGCCAGCAGGGGGCAGUUUGCGUUGAAACAAACAGAACGGUGGCAACUACAGCAGCAGAGCAAUAACGCUAUUCCGUUGAUUGCUUGAGGUGAGUAAAAGUGGUUGUGUAAAUAUCUUAUAAUAUGAAAUGCGAUGUUCGAUCAUUUAUUUAUCCAUGGUACGUUCAAUUUGAAUAAUUAUUGUUAAUAAUUGUUAUAAAUUGCUCAUUUUAUUGUUCUUUGUGGAUUGUAACAGUACACUCUGUACAUGGCUUUAGUUCAUAGGUUCGAUUUUACAGAGGAUGACAUGAUCAGGAGGUGGUGGUGUUCUGUUCUCCUGGACAGCUUUACUCCGCAAAUAGCUCAACCACUGAGGAGAACUUCACCAUUCACCAUGUCUUCAGGCAGAGUCCAGCAAAGCAGCUUCCACUGGAAAUCCUCAGGGAAGUUAUUUUGUCGGCGGGUGACUCUGCAUAUUUGACACUUUCUCUGGUUUGCAGAUGGUUUAGGGUUGUGCUCCGAAGUUUUUCGGAAAGCGGCACAGUUUGCCUGGCUAGAGAUUGUGGCCAACUGGAAGAAUUGUCCUCCUGUCUCCUGACCGGAACGAGUUCAGACGGAUGUACAGCAUCAGGGAACGCUUGCAGUGCAGAGCCCUUUUCAAGUUUAACCCACCAGGGUACAGGGAAGAGACCGGCGUGGUGAUCUUCUGGGCUUUUGUUUACACAGGAUUUUGUUCCAAGGACUGUUUUUUUUUUUUUUUUUUUUUUUUUUGCGGCAUGAAACACAUUUGUGUGUUAAGUUCAUUGAAGGGAAAUAACUGGUUUUGAUUAUUAAUUGAUGUAAUUUAAAGUUAAACUUUGCACUGUAUAAUGUUUU